This 213-nucleotide unclassified non-coding RNA is filed under the name soil metagenome. RNAcentral's name for it is "partial contains 5.8S ribosomal RNA, internal transcribed spacer 2, and large subunit ribosomal RNA". The record is from RNAcentral.
AACCUAGCACACCUGCGGUGUGUACCUGCGGAGGGAUCAUUACCGAGUUAUCACGCUCAAACCCACUGUGAACCUGAAAUCGUUGCUUCGGCGGGCGCCUCCCCCCGGGAGAGCCCGCCGGAGGUCUACCACACUAGUCUCUACGGCGGCUUUGCCGCACCUUGUCCUCUGAAUUAAGCUUCUAAAAAAGUCAAAACUUUCAGCAAUGGAUCU